This 596-nucleotide ribosomal RNA is filed under the name Blaesoxipha plinthopyga. RNAcentral's name for it is "partial 12S ribosomal RNA". The stretch from base 376 to 447 matches the Rfam family "tRNA". The record is from RNAcentral. Lineage: Eukaryota; Metazoa; Arthropoda; Insecta; Diptera; Sarcophagidae.
UUGGCGGUAUUUUAGUCUAUUCAGAGGAACCUGGUUUGUAAUCGAGAAUCCACGAUGGACCUUACUUAAGUUUGUAUUCAGUUUAUAUACCGUCGUUAUUAGAAUAUUUUAUAAGAAAGUUAAUUUUCAAGAUUUUUAAAGAGAAAAUAUAUCAGAUCAAGGUGUAGCUUAUAUUUAAGUAUAAAUGGGUUACAAUAAAAUUAUUUAAACGAAUAUAAAUUUGAAAAAUUUAUUGAAGGUGGAUUUGAUAGUAAAAUUAUAAAGAUUAAUAAUUUGAUUUUAGCUCUAAAAUAUGCACACAUCGCCCGUCACUCUUACUAUUAAGGUAAGAUAAGUCGUAACAUAGUAGAUGUACUGGAAAGUGUACCUAGAAUGCAAUUUAAAGCUUAUUCAGUAAAGCAUUUCAUUUACAUUGAAAAGAUUUUUGUGCAAAUCAAUAUAAAUUGAUUAGAUUUUAUUUAUUAAUUGUUUUUUUUUAUUCAAUAAAUUAUUAAAAAUAAUUAUUAAGAGAUUUGUUUUAGUAUUUUAUAAAGAAAAAAUAAUUUUAAUUAUAGUUAAAUAGUAUUGUGAAAGAAAAUUGAAAUAAUUUGAAAAAU